CUUCGGGACCGAGCGGCGGACGGGUUAGUAACGCGUGGGAACGUACCCUUUUCUACGGAAUAGCCUCGGGAAACUGAGAGUAAUACCGUAUAAGCCCUUCGGGGGAAAGAUUUAUCGGGAAAGGAUCGGCCCGCGUUAGAUUAGAUAGUUGGUGGGGUAAUGGCCUACCAAGUCUACGAUCUAUAGCUGGUUUUAGAGGAUGAUCAGCAACACUGGGACUGAGACACGGCCCAGACUCCUACGGGAGGCAGCAGUGGGGAAUCUUGGACAAUGGGCGCAAGCCUGAUCCAGCCAUGCCGCGUGAGUGAUGAAGGCCUUAGGGUCGUAAAGCUCUUUCGCCUGUGAAGAUAAUGACGGUAGCAGGUAAAGAAACCCCGGCUAACUCCGUGCCAGCAGCCGCGGUAAUACGGAGGGGGUUAGCGUUGUUCGGAAUUACUGGGCGUAAAGCGCACGUAGGCGGACUAGUCAGUCAGAGGUGAAAUCCCAGGGCUCAACCCUGGAACUGCCCUUGAUACUGCUAGUCUAGAGUUCGAGAGAGGUGAGUGGAAUUCCAAGUGU
This 558-nucleotide ribosomal RNA is filed under the name uncultured Alphaproteobacteria bacterium. Its description in RNAcentral is "bacterial SSU rRNA". It matches the Rfam family "Bacterial small subunit ribosomal RNA", at positions 83 to 676 of the family's 1533-position model. The record is from RNAcentral. Lineage: Bacteria; Pseudomonadati; Pseudomonadota; Alphaproteobacteria.